Molecule: transfer RNA, 87 nt
Filed under: Bacteroidia bacterium
Lineage: Bacteria; Pseudomonadati; Bacteroidota; Bacteroidia
Description: tRNA-Ser
Rfam family: tRNA
About the family: Transfer RNA (tRNA) molecules are approximately 80 nucleotides in length.
Source: RNAcentral
GGAGAGAUGGCAGAGUGGUCGAAUGCGGCGGUCUUGAAAACCGUUGUCUCUUAACAGGGACCGGGGGUUCGAAUCCCUCUCUCUCCG